UGGGGAAUCUUGCACAAUGGGGGCAACCCUGAUGCAGCGACGCCGCGUGAGCGAUGAAGCCCUUCGGGGUGUAAAGCUCUUUCGGCAGGAACGAUAAUGACGGUACCUGAAGAAGAAGCUGCGGCUAACUACGUGCCAGCAGCCGCGGUAAUACGUAGGCAGCGAGCGUUGUUCGGAGUUACUGGGCGUAAAGAGUGCGUAGGCGGUGCUCUAAGUUUGGUGUGAAAUCUCCCGGCUUAACUGGGAGGGUGCGCCGAAAACUGGAGUGCUUGAGUGUGGGAGAGGUAAGCGGAAUUCCUGGUGUAGCGGUGAAAUGCGUAGAUAUCAGGAGGAACACCUGUGGUGUAGACAGCUUACUGGACCAUGACUGACGCUGAGGCACGAAAGCGUGGGGAGCAAACAGGAUUAGAUACCCUGGUAGUCCACGCCCUAAACGAUGCAUACUUGGUGUGAGCCAUUCAUUUGGUUCGUGCCGGAGCUAACGCGUUAAGUAUGCCGCCUGGGGAGUACGGUCGCAAGGCUGA
RNAcentral lists this ribosomal RNA (524 nucleotides) under uncultured Acidobacteriota bacterium. RNAcentral's name for it is "bacterial SSU rRNA". It matches the Rfam family "Bacterial small subunit ribosomal RNA", at positions 355 to 897 of the family's 1533-position model. The record is from RNAcentral. Lineage: Bacteria; Pseudomonadati; Acidobacteriota.